This is a long non-coding RNA of Papaver somniferum (opium poppy), 617 nucleotides long. RefSeq lists it as uncharacterized. The record is from RefSeq and is a predicted model, not a curated record. Lineage: Eukaryota; Viridiplantae; Streptophyta; Magnoliopsida; Ranunculales; Papaveraceae. The transcript is spliced from 2 exons.
UCUACGAUGGCCAAAACUCUAAAAACUAAAGUCAUUGGAAAUUGGAAUCAUAAUCUUAUUAUAGAUGGAAGACUCGAAAUCAUCUGAAGGGAAAAAAGAGCCUUCAAAGUUCCACUUCGUCUAAACAAAAAGUAGAUCUAAACAUCUAAUUGAUUAAUCCAUUGGGAAAUCUAGUUUUUCUAGAUUUAUUUUACUGGCAACUACAGCAGUGAGAUUCUCAGAAGUAGCAAAGAGUUUUUUUUAUUUUUGAUUGGUAAUUGAAUCAAUGGUGCUCAAGAAGAUCAGAAAGGGAAUGGAUCUGGUGGUUGAUGUUUGAAAGAUCGAUUAUUGUGACGGUGCUAUUUCGGCAGGAGUUUUGGUUUAUUGAUGCCAUGAUUUAAAGAAGAUGCAAAUGCUGCUGAAGUUGUGUUUGUAGCCGGAAAUUAUAGAAACAACCGUUGCUGCUGUUGGUUUUGUGAUUCAUGGCCGUAAUAGAUUAGGGUUCUGUGGUUGUAUGAUUCAGGUAUUGAAUCAGCUGAAUGGAGGUGCUAAAAUGGUUCGAGAAGAGGAUGGAUUUGUAGCUAUGAAUGAUUGCAACAGUAACUGAAACAUUGAUCAAAGAUUAAGUAAAUAAAAAA